CAAAGUGUAGCUUAAACUAAAGCACCUGGCUUACGCCUAGAAGAUUUCAAUUUAACUGAACGCUUUGA
This 68-nucleotide transfer RNA is filed under the name Laephotis namibensis (Namib long-eared bat). RNAcentral describes it as "tRNA-Val". It matches the Rfam family "tRNA". From Rfam's summary of the family: Transfer RNA (tRNA) molecules are approximately 80 nucleotides in length. Their secondary structure includes four short double-helical elements and three loops (D, anti-codon, and T loops). The record is from RNAcentral. Lineage: Eukaryota; Metazoa; Chordata; Mammalia; Chiroptera; Vespertilionidae.